CUCUGAGUGAUUUCCGUUAAGGAGAUCUUUUGGCACCUCUAAAAAUGGUGCAGAAUAAGGGGUGGGCAAGUCUGGUGUCAGCCGCCGCGGUAAUACCAGCACCCCGAGUGGUCGGGACGUUUAUUGGGCCUAAAGCAUCCGUAGCCGGUUCUACNAGUCUUCCGUUAAAUCCACCUGCUUAACAGAUGGGCUGCGGAAGAUACUAUAGAGCUAGGAGGCGGGAGAGGCAAGCGGUACUCGAUGGGUAGGGGUAAAAUCCGUUGAUCCAUUGAAGACCACCAGUGGCGAAGGCGGCUUGCCAGAACGCGCUCGACGGUGAGGGAUGAAAGCUGGGGGAGCAAACCGGAUUAGAUACCCGGGUAGUCCCAGCUGUAAACGAUGCAGACUCGGUGAUGAGUUGGCUUAUGCACUCAGUGCCGCAGGGAAGCCGUUAAGUUUGCCGCCUGGGGAGUACGGUCGCAAGACUGAAACUUAAAGGAAUUGGCGGGGGGAGCACA
Molecule: ribosomal RNA, 497 nt
Filed under: uncultured archaeon
Lineage: Archaea
Description: bacterial SSU rRNA
Rfam family: Archaeal small subunit ribosomal RNA
Source: RNAcentral